Molecule: long non-coding RNA, 304 nt
Organism: Nanorana parkeri
Lineage: Eukaryota; Metazoa; Chordata; Amphibia; Anura; Dicroglossidae
Exons: 2
Source: RefSeq, a predicted model, not a curated record
GUCAGUGCAGAGACAUCAAAAUGGGUUCUCAGGGGAUUCUACUUCCUCUCAUACUGAUUUAUAUUCAGGGUUCCUGGGCACAGAUUACACUGAGACAGACUCCGAAUGACAUCACUGCGACUCUAGGACAGACAGUCACCAUCUCAUGUCAAUCCAGUACUGGUAUCGGCAGCUACUUACACUGGUACCAGCAGAAACAAGGACAACCUCCAACACUGAUUAUCAGCUAUGCGACCAAUCUGCAAUCUGGAGCCCCAGCCAGGUUCAGUGGAUCUGGAUUUGGAACAGAUUUCACUCUCACAAU